ACGCGACACCGCCAACCAGUUGCUC
Molecule: small RNA, 25 nt
Filed under: Bombyx mori (domestic silkworm)
Lineage: Eukaryota; Metazoa; Arthropoda; Insecta; Lepidoptera; Bombycidae
Description: ovarian small RNA-11511
Source: RNAcentral